CAGGUAAGAAGAAAACGGAGAAAAACAAGACAUUGGUAGAUGUUCUUGUUCGCUCAGACAUCUCAUAGGAAGGACGAAGAAUAGUUAACGAGUCUCUGAAGCCGAAGUUCAACCUCUUUGUCAAGCAGGUGUCCGCCAGCAUUGAGAUGGCAGAGCCACACAUUGAUGGCAAUGGAUAAAAUCUACUCUGGAUAGUUGACAAAGGGAGUACAUGCAAAGUUGACUUUUUUCCUGCGGAUUUGCUUAUCAUGAAGAUGCUUGCAAGGAUGCAGAGGGAGCGGAUCAUUUGGAGAGAUAGGACGCCACUGUUUGGUGUUUUUAUCCAUUUUGGUUUGCUUGUAACUGUGUUUGCACUAGCUGGGAGUAAGUGACUUCAAGAAGUGUAGGUGUUUUAACUGAAGGCAUGAAAAGCCAUGACAAUAUGUAUGCUCUUACAGGAUGUGUUCUA
Long non-coding RNA from Triticum dicoccoides, 448 nucleotides. RefSeq lists it as uncharacterized. The record is from RefSeq and is a predicted model, not a curated record. The transcript has 3 exons. Lineage: Eukaryota; Viridiplantae; Streptophyta; Magnoliopsida; Poales; Poaceae.